GCAUGGCUGUCGUCAGCUCGUGUCGUGAGAUGUUGGGUUAAGUCCCGCAACGAGCGCAACCCUUGUCCUUAGUUGCUACGCAAGAGCACUCUAAGGAGACUGCCGGUGACAAACCGGAGGAAGGUGGGGAUGACGUCAAGUCCUCAUGGCCCUUAUGGGUAGGGCUUCACACGUCAUACAAUGGUCGGUACAGAGGGCUGCCAAACCGCGAGGUGGAGCUAACCCCAGAAAACCGAUCGUAGUCCGGAUCGCAGUCUGCAACUCGACUGCGUGAAGCUGGAAUCGCUAGUAAUCGCGGAUCAGCAUGUCGCGGUGAAUACGUUCCCGGGU
This 330-nucleotide ribosomal RNA is filed under the name Pandoraea sp. 99S. RNAcentral's name for it is "bacterial SSU rRNA". It matches the Rfam family "Bacterial small subunit ribosomal RNA", at positions 1043 to 1378 of the family's 1533-position model. Lineage: Bacteria; Pseudomonadati; Pseudomonadota; Betaproteobacteria; Burkholderiales; Burkholderiaceae. The record is from RNAcentral.